Molecule: ribosomal RNA, 460 nt
Filed under: uncultured bacterium
Lineage: Bacteria
Description: partial 16S ribosomal RNA
Rfam family: Bacterial small subunit ribosomal RNA
Source: RNAcentral
CCUACGGGAGGCAGCAGUGAGGAAUAUUGGUCAAUGGGCGCGAGCCUGAACCAGCCACGUCGCGUGAGGGAAGACGGUCCUAUGGAUUGUAAACCUCUUUUGUCGGGGAGCAAAAGACGCCACGCGUAGCGUUCCGAGAGUACCCGAAGAAUAAGCACCGGCUAACUCCGUGCCAGCAGCCGCGGUAAUACAGUGGGUGCAAGCGUUACUCGGAAUUAAUGGGCGUAAAGAGUGCGGAGGGGGGCGUGUAAGUCAGAUGUGAAAUCCUGUAGCUUAACUACAGAACUGCAUUUGAAACUAUGAGUCUAGAGUGUGGGAGAGGUAGGUGGAAUUCUUGGUGUAGGGGUAAAAUCCGUAGAUAUCAAGAGGAAUACUCAUUGCGAAGGCGACCUACUGGAACAUUACUGACGCUCAUGCACGAAAGCGUGGGGAGCAAACAGGAUUAGAUACCCUUGUAGUC